AACGGCCGUACCAUGCUGAAUAUACCGGUUCUCGUUAGAUCACCGAAGUUAAGCAUCAUUGGGCGCGGUCAGUACUUGGGUGGGUGACCACCUGAAAACACUGCGUGCCGUU
RNAcentral lists this ribosomal RNA (112 nucleotides) under Caerostris darwini. The record is from RNAcentral. Lineage: Eukaryota; Metazoa; Arthropoda; Arachnida; Araneae; Araneidae.